RNAcentral lists this transfer RNA (69 nucleotides) under Strophurus mcmillani (short-tailed striped gecko). RNAcentral's name for it is "tRNA-Ala". The record is from RNAcentral. Lineage: Eukaryota; Metazoa; Chordata; Lepidosauria; Squamata; Diplodactylidae.
GAGGCCUUAGCUUAAUUAAAGUGUCUGAGUUGCAUUUAGGAGAUGAUAUAUAUAAAAUUAUAGGUCUUC